CUGCCUCCCUCUCGUCUCUGCCUCCCCAGCUUGCGCACAGUGGGUCCUCAGUCAGUGCCUCCUGACUGGCUGAAAGCCGGCAGCGGCCCAAUAGUGCAGCUGGGAAGGGCUAACGCUCCUCCCUGGGAGUCUGGGGAAGUCCAGGUGGCUCAGGGCUCUCCUCUGGAGCAAGCUGGCGUCCCAGCCCUCCGCCAAGGUACACACCUCGGAGGGCUCGCCGCACAGGCUGGGCCCUGCCAGGUGCCUGCAGCUCCGCCACCACGCCCCACCUCAGAGCCGCCCCGGAUCAGGGGGGCUGCAGGAUGAAGAGGGGGCGAUCCCGGUCCUGCAGCCAAUCCAUCCCUUUUUGCCUGACCCAAGACAGGCAGCCACGGCUGUUCUCGCACACUGACCACAAGCGGCAGGCGACAUUAUUGUUCCCGCGUUCCAGACUGGGCCACAGGCUUGGGAACAUCGGCUCACUCGCCCACACCAUCCAGCUGUAACCGGCAGAAACUGGAGUCCUGCUGGGCCUCCCCCACAGCGGCCACGACCCCCCCGUCCAGCGAACAGGGACUCGGUCCCCCUCCCAGGGCUCAGUGCGGGGAGCCCUCAGGUGCUGGGGGCAGGGAUCUGUGACCUGCGGGGGGUGGGAGGGUGGGAGGCACCCAGGCGGCCACUGCUCCUCCUCCCGUUGACUCUGAGGCAGGGCCUGCUGCAGUGAGAAGGAGACGCUGGCUGUGGUGGGUUUUUUUUAACCACUUGAUCAUGAUCAAGGAUUUAAUUUUAUCCCCCUCUCUGGCUGGCUCUGAUUCUAUUUGGAGUUUAAGCACGAGCUGGUGAGCGGGAGGGUCCCUGGAAGAUAGGACUCCCACCCCCAGGCUCUGCAAGGCCCCUGGCUUCCUGUCCAGCGUGGCAAGAUCCGUCUGGGGGACCCGGUCUGCUCUGCAGGUUCAGGACGGCUGAAGAAUGGCUCCAGUUCACACCCUGCCCCCACACAAAGCUGCUUAGCCGAGGGAGCUGUCCAGGCCCGGGGCUGGAGGCGGCUCUUGCCCGGCUUCUGUCAAGGGAUCAUCUCAGCUCUUUCACCCUCAGCGAAAAAGUGUUUAACAAGCACCUGAUUGGAUCUGGGACCUGGAGCUGCAGACGAGGCCCUGCUCUGAAUGACUUAUGGGCAGAGAGCAUGGGGGCAGGGGACACCAUAGUGGUGACUCGAUGUUGACCAUAUGUGCUGACCACCCACUGUGGGCAGGUCACUCAGCUAAACUUGUCAUAUGCAUCAUCCCAUUGAUUCUCAGUACAUCUUAGGGGAUAGAUGGUCUUGUCUUUUCCAUUUUUCCAGCAAGUUGGAUUAUUUGCCCCAAGUCACACAGCUGCCAAGCGGCAUAUCUAGAUGUCAGUUGCACCAGAGUUCUGUCUCCCCAGCCCCCAGCUACAUGGACAUAAAGAUGUGUCCUCUGGGAGUAAACGGCAUAAACCAAGGUCAAGAGAGAAUUAGGUUUGUUCAGGGCUUUAUUGGAUUCAAAGCAUUUUUGUGUAGUUUGUGGAAUAUAGCUUUGUUUUCAUUAUUAUUCCCAUUUUACAGAUGAGGAAUUUAAGGCUAAGUAAGCCCCACCCAAGGGUACAGAGGUCACAGUAGGGUGGCAGGAUUCCAGCCCCAGCCUGCGGCCCCCAAUUCUGAGCUCUUUCUCUGCCCUCCUUUGGGGAAAGGUGUGCUUCCCGAUGCUGGCUGGGGGCUGUGAACAGGAAGGGGAAGCACAAAGUGGAAGCGGAAUUUAUUCUAGAAAAACCGGCUUAGCCUGGAGGAGGACUGCUGGUCUCCCAGGGGAGCAUCAGCGUGGGUGAAAGGUGAGUAGCUUAAGGGAGGUGGGAGGGAGAGCAGCUUCACCCUGGAGGUAAGGGCUGGCCUGAGGACCCACAUGGCUAAUGCACCUUGUAGGUAUUUGCUAACCUGCUAUAGCCAGGCUCACCUGGCAUAGAGGAGAAGGGCAAACACCAGAUUGGUCCAGGAUCAAAGAGACGGGUUUCUCCCCAGCCCCACCCACCCCCUGUCAAAGCUGGAAGUACAGAGUCUGGGGUCAGAAAACCUGGGUCCCAGUUCUGGCUAACCCACGCUGACCUUUAGCAAACUGUGGAACCCCCAUUUCCUCAUCUGUAAAAUGGGGAUAAUAACAUACUCACUUCACACAUGACUGAGGAUUAUGUGUAUAUAACGCUGCACACCUGCACACAGGUGAGCUAUUCAGACUGGGACAAGGGAGACACAUAAAAAAUGUUUAUGAACUGCCACCUCCUUCCAGGGCUGAGGCUAGGGGCCAGGAGGGGGAACUCUGAGGCUGUGGGUCACCUCCUGGGGCUGUGCAGGUGGGGCAGGACAGCCGCCUGUUGCACACUCAGUUCCUUCCCUGGGGACUCAGGAAGAGGCCAGGCAGGGUGGGGUGGACAGGAUGCCACUCAGCUCCUGUCACCAGCUCUCCUAACUACCUGCCAGCAGGUCUGGCAGGCCCCCUGGGAAACCAUCCAUGAGGGGGGGAGUUCCAAUGUCAAGGAGAAAAGUAAAGGCGAGGUGCUGGUCCUUUGAGGCGGCCUUUCUUUAAAUUAGGACUAGAAGCUAUGGUUCCCCCCAUCACCCCCCAUCUCCUGACACCCAGUGGUUCCCCAGUAGAGGAAGUGCCUUCACUGGACAGAGAAGCGUUUUCUAAACAUGGCCUCAGUUUAGUCUGGGCCUAUUUCAUCCUCCAGGAAAGGGGUGGGUGGCCAUGAGCUACAGGGAGAAAGAGAAAGAAUGACAGGGAGUGGGGGAGAAUCUGCCCGUGCAGGCCAGGCAGGCGGGUAGUGGUGGGGUCUCCUGGGGCCUCCAGAGCUCCGCGGCCCUGGAAAGUGGCUCCUGCCCCCGCCACUGAACCAGGUGCCACGGAGGGAUCACCUUCCCUGCCACAAAGGGCCCCGUUCAAAGGCUGCAGCAGCCUAGAUUCUCACAGCUGCUUUUCACCUGCUGGACAGGGAGAAGCCCUUUAUUCAUCCUCCCCAACCCCCGCUGAGAAACACCAGCAACGGGCAGGGUGCCCGGCCUCCCUUCUCCCCGCCCCCACCUCAGCCCUGCCCACAGCACCCACCUGCCUCAGCGCUCUCCUCCCACCUGUUGGGCUCAUUACCGGCCACAUGCACUUGUGCCUGGGAAGGUGGAUCCAGGAGGCUGAUGCUGCGUGGGCCAGGGAUCCUGAAUGGCCCAGUGCUGCCCAGUCUUUGCCCUUUGCCUGCUGACUUGCCCCACCUCAUCUUCCUUGCAUGGCCUGAUUCGCAUCAGAACUGACAGGUCGGUCAGCUCUGGGAGGACAGCCCCAGCCCCAGCCCCAGCUGUGGGGCUGGCAGGCGGGACCAGGGCCAGCCGGCCCCUCCCUCUGCUCCAUGGCCCAGCUUACAAGAGCCUCCGACGUUGCCUGCAAGUGCCACUCAGAACGCAAGGGCAAGUGGGGGAACUCUACACCUGAUUUACCUAACGUGAGCCCUUGAUAUGUCUAAUUUCUGGCUUACGUAGCAGUCUUUUUUUUUUUUUUUUUUUUGUCUUUCGCUCAAUAACUAGAAGUUCCUUCCAGAAAAGGAAGUUUUACAGAGAAAGGGAGACAGUUCAAUAUAAGGAUGAAGAUAUACCUGUAGUUGAAAUAUGAAGCCACAGCAACACCUUCCCGUUUCUUCUUCAGGUGAUGAGAUGGGUCAGGGCCAUUACUAUUACAAGAACGAGGCCCAAGAACUUGCCAAGGACAGGCUGGGGCAGAGAACACACCCUUGGCCGGGUCACAGGCCCUGGGGGCUGCAGGCUGAUGUCGGGAGAGACCCUGCUGAAGGCAGUGCAGAGAGGGCGAGGGCCUCAGGUGCUAGAACUCUGAGAGCUGG
Molecule: long non-coding RNA, 3873 nt
Organism: Manis javanica (Malayan pangolin)
Lineage: Eukaryota; Metazoa; Chordata; Mammalia; Pholidota; Manidae
Source: RefSeq, a predicted model, not a curated record